UUUUUUUCUUUUUUGAAAAUUGAAGACAGUUUUUCAUAAGUCUCUGGUGUGCUUUGUUCUCUACAUUGACACUCUCGUUUCUCUCUGUAGCUUUGUAGAAUUUUCGUUCAAAUCCUGAAUUUGCAGAAGAAUCCAACCACGUUUCUCUCUUUCUCUUCAGGUUUCUCAGGAAACUUGGAGUGUGGAGAAUUGAUGUGUAUUUGCAAUCUUAAAUCAAACGAUGUUGGGACGAACCCCUGAAAAAUCUCUGUAGGAGAGCAGGUGCGCAUUACCGCCAUUCAUGCAAUCGAAAAUGACGUUGUCGCAGGUUCUCUCUGUAGCUUAAGGCUAAUUUCACACAGGUCAAGGAUAAAACUGUUGAGCCAAUAGGUGAUACUGAAGGUUCUAUUUGGUUGGGAUCUCCUUUCUCCUUUUCCCCUUCAGAGAGCUCUGAAAGGUCAUCAGCAGCAUCAUGGCGACCUUGCUCCCGCUCAAGACGCCGCUUU
Long non-coding RNA from Vitis vinifera (wine grape), 485 nucleotides. RefSeq lists it as uncharacterized. The record is from RefSeq and is a predicted model, not a curated record. Lineage: Eukaryota; Viridiplantae; Streptophyta; Magnoliopsida; Vitales; Vitaceae. The transcript has 4 exons.